GAUUAACGCUGGCGGCGUGCAUAACACAUGCAAGUCGAACGAUGAAACUUUAAUGAACCCUUCGGGGAGAAUUAAAGCGGAUUAGUGGCGAACGGGUGAGUAACGCGUGAGUAACCUGCCUUACACAAGGGGAUAGCCUUUGGAAACGAAGAAUAAUACCCUAUAAAACCAUAAAAGCACAUGCAAUUAUGGUCAAAGUGAUAGCGGUGUAAGAUGGACUUGCGUCUGAUUAGCUAGUUGGUGAGAUAAAAGCCCACCAAGGCAACGAUCAGUAGCCGGCUUGGGAGAGUGUACGGCCACAUUGGGACGGAGACACGGCCCAGACUCCUACGGGAGGCAGCAGUGGGGAAUUUUGCACAAUGGGGGAAACCCUGAUGCAGCGACGCCGCGUGAUUUAGAAGGCCUUCGGGUUGUAAAAAUCUUUUGUAUAGGAAGAAAAUGACAGUACUAUACGAAUAAGGUCCGGCUAAUUACGUG
Molecule: ribosomal RNA, 477 nt
Filed under: uncultured bacterium
Lineage: Bacteria
Description: partial 16S ribosomal RNA
Rfam family: Bacterial small subunit ribosomal RNA
Source: RNAcentral